RNAcentral lists this ribosomal RNA (253 nucleotides) under uncultured bacterium. RNAcentral's name for it is "partial 16S ribosomal RNA". It matches the Rfam family "Bacterial small subunit ribosomal RNA", at positions 524 to 776 of the family's 1533-position model. The record is from RNAcentral.
GACGUAGGGUGCGAGCGUUGUCCGGAAUCACUGGGCGUAAAGAGCUCGUAGGCGGGGUCGUGCGUCGUGGAGUAAAUUUCCAUGCUCAACGUGGAAAUCUUCUGCGAUACGGCGACUCUUGAGGACAGAAGAGGAAAGCGGAAUUCCGAGUGUAGCGGUGAAAUGCGUAGAUAUUCGGAGGAACACCGGUGGCGAAGGCGGCUUUCUGGUCUGAUUCUGACGCUGAGGAGCGAAAGCCAGGGGAGCAAACGGG